This 231-nucleotide ribosomal RNA is filed under the name uncultured Pseudomonadales bacterium. Its description in RNAcentral is "partial 16S ribosomal RNA". It matches the Rfam family "Bacterial small subunit ribosomal RNA", at positions 99 to 334 of the family's 1533-position model. The record is from RNAcentral. Lineage: Bacteria; Pseudomonadati; Pseudomonadota; Gammaproteobacteria; Pseudomonadales.
CGGACGGGUGAGUAAUGCUUAGGAAUCUGCCUAUUAUGGGGGACAACAUCUCGAAAGGGAUGCUAAUAUCGCAUACGUCCUACGGGAGAAAGCAGGGGACCUUCGGGCCUUGCGCUAAUAGAUGAGCCUAAGUCGGAUUAGCUAGUUGGUGGGGUAAAGGCCUACCAAGGCGACGAUCUGUAGCGGGUCUGAGGGGAUGAUCCGCCACACUGGGACUGAGACACGGCCCAG